This 253-nucleotide ribosomal RNA is filed under the name uncultured bacterium. Its description in RNAcentral is "partial 16S ribosomal RNA". It matches the Rfam family "Bacterial small subunit ribosomal RNA", at positions 524 to 776 of the family's 1533-position model. The record is from RNAcentral.
UACGUAGGGGGCAAGCGUUGUCCGGAAUCAUUGGGCGUAAAGAGCGUGUAGGCGGCUUGGCAAGUCUGGUGUGAAAUCUUGCGGCUCAACCGCAAGCGGUCACUGGAAACUGCCUCGCUAGAGUCCGGAAGAGGAGAGCGGAAUUCCUGGUGUAGCGGUGGAAUGCGUAGAUAUCGGAAGGAACAUCAGUGGCGAAAGCGGCUUCCUGGUCCAGCACCGACGUUCAGGCACGAAAGCGUGGGGAGCAAACAGG